AUACGGAGGGUGCAAGCGUUAUUCGGAAUCACUGGGCGUAAAGGACGCGUAGGCGGGUUGGCAAGUCAGAUGUGAAAUCCUACAGCUUAACUGUAGAACUGCAUUUGAAACUGCUAACCUAGAGUAUGGGAGGGGGAGAUGGAAUUAGUGGUGUAGGGGUAAAAUCCGUAGAUAUCACUAGGAAUACCGAAAGCGAAGGCGAUCUCCUGGAACAUAACUGACGCUAAGGCGUGGAAGCGUGGGGAGCAAACAGGAUUAGAAACCCGAGUAGUCC
Molecule: ribosomal RNA, 274 nt
Filed under: uncultured bacterium
Lineage: Bacteria
Description: partial 16S ribosomal RNA
Rfam family: Bacterial small subunit ribosomal RNA
Source: RNAcentral